AGAGUUUGAUCAUGGCUCAGAACGAACGCUGGCGGCGUGCUUAACACAUGCAAGUCGAACGAGAAAGCUUCCUUCGGGAAGUAAGUAGAGUGGCGCACGGGUGAGUAACGCGUAGGUAAUCUACCCUUAUAACUGGGAUAACAUUGGGAAACUGGUGCUAAUACCGGAUACACUUCUUUACUGCAGGGUAAAGGAGGAAAGGUGGCCUCUUCAUGAAAGCUACCGUAUAGGGAUGAGCCUGCGUACCAUUAGCUAGUAGGCGGGGUAACGGCCCACCUAGGCAACGAUGGUUAGCGGGUCUGAGAGGAUGAUCCGCCACACUGGAACUGGAACACGGACCAGACUCCUACGGGAGGCAGCAGUGAGGAAUAUUGCGCAAUGGGGGAAACCCUGACGCAGCGACGCCGCGUGAGUGAGGAAGGUUUUCGGAUCGUAAAGCUCUGUCAGAAGGGAAGAAGUGUUAUAUGUUUAAUACGCAUAUAAUUUGACGGUACCUUCAGAGGAAGCACCGGCUAACUCCGUGCCAGCAACCGCGGUAAUACGGAGGGUGCAAGCGUUGUUCGGAAUUACUGGGCGUAAAGGGCGCGUAGGCGGCUGGAUAAGUCAGAUGUGAAAGUCCAUGGCUCAACUGUGGAAGUGCAUUUGAAACUGUCCGGCUUGAGUAUCGGAGGGGAGUGUGGAAUUCCCGGUGUAGAGGUGAAAUUCGUAGAGAUCGGGAGGAACACCGGUGGCGAAGGCGACACUCUGGACGAAUACUGACGCUGAGGCGCGAAAGCGUGGGGAGCAAACAGGAUUAGAUACCCUGGUAGUCCACGCCGUAAACGAUGUGAACUAGGGAUAGGGGGUGUUGAUCCCUCCUGUCCCGCAGCUAACGCAUUAAGUUCACCGCCUGGGGAGUACGGUCGCAAGAUUAAACUCAAAGGAAUUGACGGGGGCCCGC
Molecule: ribosomal RNA, 940 nt
Filed under: uncultured delta proteobacterium
Lineage: Bacteria; Deltaproteobacteria
Description: bacterial SSU rRNA
Rfam family: Bacterial small subunit ribosomal RNA
Source: RNAcentral